RNAcentral lists this ribosomal RNA (621 nucleotides) under Stemonitopsis amoena. RNAcentral's name for it is "SSU rRNA". It matches the Rfam family "Eukaryotic small subunit ribosomal RNA", at positions 1150 to 1671 of the family's 1831-position model. Lineage: Eukaryota; Evosea; Eumycetozoa; Stemonitida; Stemonitidae. The record is from RNAcentral.
GAAUUGACGGGAAGGGCACACAAAGAGUGGAACCUGCGGCUUAAUUUGACUCAACACGGGACAACUCACCGGGUCAAGAUACAGUGAUGAAGGACAGGCGGAAAGACCUUUCCCAAUAAUGUAAGUGGUGGUGCAUGGCCGUUCUUAGUUCGUGGAGUGAUUUGUCUGGUCUAUUCCGAUAACGAGCGAGAUCUCAAUGUUUAACUAUGGGGUGCGCAGCCCGGCCCGUGCCCCGCGCCUGCUCCCGUGCGUGCUUGGGCAACCUUGUGCGUGCGGGGCGGGAAUUGGGGGCGCGGUGCCAGCCGCCGCCUGUGAGCGCGAGCUUCUUCUUAGACAGAUCGGGGCCGAUAAGGUCCCUGAAAUGAGGCAAUAACAGGUCAGUGAUGCCCUUAGAUGUUCCGGGCCGCACGCGGGUUACAAUGGCAUGAAGAGCGCGUAUACCUUCCGUCAAAGGGAGUACAUCCUUGGAAGGCAGCCCCACCACCUAAAGGUCGGCGGUAAUCCCUAGUCCAUGCCUCGACUGGGAUAGUCUAUUGGAAUUAUUGGUCUUGAACGAGGAAUUUUUAGUAGGCGCGCGUCAUUACCGCGCGCCGAAUUAGUCCCUGCCCUUUGUACACACCG